This 101-nucleotide ribosomal RNA is filed under the name uncultured bacterium. Its description in RNAcentral is "partial 16S ribosomal RNA". It matches the Rfam family "Bacterial small subunit ribosomal RNA", at positions 1384 to 1482 of the family's 1533-position model. The record is from RNAcentral.
CACACACCGCCCGUCACACCACGAAAGCUGGUUCUGCCCGAAGUGGCUAGGCUAACCCGAAAGGGAAGCAGGCUCCGAAGGCAGGGCUAGUAAUUGGGGUG